RNAcentral lists this ribosomal RNA (493 nucleotides) under uncultured microorganism. Its description in RNAcentral is "bacterial SSU rRNA". It matches the Rfam family "Bacterial small subunit ribosomal RNA", at positions 9 to 465 of the family's 1533-position model. The record is from RNAcentral.
GAGUUUGAUCAUGGCUCAGGAUGAACGCCGGCGGUGUGCCUAAUACAUGCAAGUCGUACGCACUGGCCCAACUGAUUGAUGGUGCUUGCACCUGAUUGACGAUGGAUCACCAGUGAGUGGCGGACGGGUGAGUAACACGUAGGUAACCUGCCCCGGAGCGGGGGAUAACAUUUGGAAACAGAUGCUAAUACCGCAUAACAACAAAGGCCACAUGGCUUUUGUUUGAAAGAUGGCUUUGGCCAUCACUCUGGGAUGGACCUGCGGUGCAUUAGCUAGUUGGUAAGGUAACGGCUUACCAAGGCGAUGAUGCAUAGCCGAGUUGAGAGACUGAUCGGCCACAAUGGAACUGAGACACGGUCCAUACUCCUACGGGAGGCAGCAGUAGGGAAUCUUCCACAAUGGGCGCAAGCCUGAUGGAGCAACACCGCGUGAGUGAAGAAGGGUUUCGGCUCGUAAAGCUCUGUUGUUGGAGAAGAACGUGCGUGAGAGUAAC